Molecule: long non-coding RNA, 330 nt
Organism: Lutra lutra (Eurasian river otter)
Lineage: Eukaryota; Metazoa; Chordata; Mammalia; Carnivora; Mustelidae
Exons: 2
Source: RefSeq, a predicted model, not a curated record
GCAGAGAGAGCGUAUUUGGACGAAGCAGAGGAUUAACAGUUUUAGCCGGUUGUCAUGGCUUGCGUCAAGAGAAUCUCAGUGCCAGGGAACUUUACUUCGGAUUAGCAUGGGGACCUACUGCUAUCUAGAUACAGGUGAUUAUUUUGCUGUCUUAUAAUGAAGUGGGACAUUGAGUAAAGGAAAUCGCCUUUUCACAAAUGUGAACAAAGUCUGGUGAUAUCUUUGUGAUGAAAUUCUGAACCCUGCACAGACACGUGUUUGAAGGAUGCUGCCUGGAUUAGUCCAUGAAGAUCUUUGUCAUGUGAAACUAAAUAAAAAAGUAAAGCUAAA